UCGUGACUUUAAUAAAAUCUGUCAUUCAACCUUCUUUUCUAGCUCCAAAAAUGGACCUUUGAUAACCGUCUAAAUACCCUUAUAUUAUAUGCCACUCUUUUAGAAUUCCUGAACAUUAAGACAAACGAUAAAAAUUCAAUCCACUGACGCAUCCAGAUAACUUGAAUCUCACAAAACUAUUUUCUAUAAGAGUCAGAAGAAUUUCUAUAAAACUUCGAAUUUGGAUCGAAAGAGCCUUGAGGCGGAGGAGCUGAAACUUGAUUUGCGUAAUACAUUUGUGGAUUAGCUUGUGAAUAAUAACCGAUACUGUCAUUGUAUAUGGGAUGAAAUGGCGGGAAUGAAGGCUGGGGAUAGUUAUAAUUAUAAUACAUCGGAGACUGAGUUGAAUAAUUUAUUGAUGAUUCACUUAACGAGUAUAGCGAUGAACUUGGUGGUUCCUGAGUGAAGCGUUUGGCUGGCGGAUUGGAUCCUUGAUUGGUCUGAUAAAACGGAUAAUUUCGAACAUUGUUCUGAUUAAGUGACUGGAAAUUUGCUUCGCCAGGCAAGGCUUGAUUACCAGAAACCAU
Non-coding RNA from Schizosaccharomyces pombe (fission yeast), 566 nucleotides. NCBI's taxonomy places the organism in Eukaryota, Fungi, Ascomycota, Schizosaccharomycetes, Schizosaccharomycetales, Schizosaccharomycetaceae. The record is from the annotation of a GenBank genome assembly.